AGGGUCUUACUCUUCCGAAACUAUGUGAGAGCAAGAGCAAUCUCCCCAACAUCACACAUGUAUCUAUUAAUUUCAUGAGUUUAUAUCAUUCUGUAGAGACUCCAUUGGUUCUCCACAAAUGGCUGGUUGAGCUUGCCAAUACUCAAUCAUUGAGCGUCAAUUCACCUACUCUUAAGAUUCUUUCCUUAGUUCCUGACUUGUUGAAGUCUGAACUCCCUUCUCUGGAUAACUUGAAGUCACUUAAAGUAGAAAUGUCGCGCAUAUCCAUACCUGAUGGAAUAGUGAACUUUUUGUGUCGAAAGUCACGAUCAGCAAAGGUUGACAUCAUCGGCAUCUAAUUAAGAAAAGGCGCACGGUGGAGGGUACGAAAGCUAGAGGAAUCUCUGAUGCAGAUGUUUGCCGAGAAAUUAGAGACUCUAUCAAAUAAUUUAACAAUAACAGUUUUUUUUUUUUCCUUCCAAGAGAAACCUUUCUAAUAACUAGAUAGCUUGUUUAAUAUUUAUUUAUUUUCCUAAUUUGUUUCAUUUAUUAUACUUUAGUUAUAUCAGUGCCCUUACAAAGUGUAAUUAGACAAAUGAGCUUUGUG
Trifolium pratense (red clover) is the source of this 586-nucleotide long non-coding RNA. RefSeq lists it as uncharacterized. The record is from RefSeq and is a predicted model, not a curated record. The transcript is spliced from 3 exons. Lineage: Eukaryota; Viridiplantae; Streptophyta; Magnoliopsida; Fabales; Fabaceae.